Molecule: ribosomal RNA, 498 nt
Filed under: uncultured bacterium
Lineage: Bacteria
Description: partial 16S ribosomal RNA
Rfam family: Bacterial small subunit ribosomal RNA
Source: RNAcentral
GACGAACGCUGGCGGCGUGCCUAAUACAUGCAAGUCGAACGAGAGCGACCGGUGCUUGCACUGGUCAAUCUAGUGGCGAACGGGUGAGUAACACAUGGGUAACCUGCCCAUCAGAGGGGGAUAACAUCCGGAAACGGAUGCUAAAACCGCAUAGGUCUUCGAACCGCAUGGUUUGAAGAGGAAAAGAGGCGCAAGCUUCUGCUGAUGGAUGGACCCGCGGUGCAUUAGCUAGUUGGUGAGGUAACGGCUCACCAAGGCCGUGAUGCAUAGCCGACCUGAGAGGGUGAUCGGCCACAUUGGGACUGAGACACGGCCCAAACUCCUACGGGAGGCAGCAGUAGGGAAUCUUCCGCAAUGGACGCAAGUCUGACGGAGCAACGCCGCGUGAGUGAAGAAGGUUUUCGGAUCGUAAAACUCUGUUGUUAGAGAAGAACAAGUGCUAGAGUAACUGUUAGCGCCUUGACGGUAUCUAACCAGAAAGCCACGGCUAACUACGUG